This is a long non-coding RNA of Takifugu rubripes (torafugu), 1730 nucleotides long. NCBI's taxonomy places the organism in Eukaryota, Metazoa, Chordata, Actinopteri, Tetraodontiformes, Tetraodontidae. The record is from Ensembl.
AUGUUUAAAAUCAAAAAGACUUCUGCUGCACUUCCCUACUACAUACAGUUUGCUGUUGUCAACGCAGUGAAUAUACUAAUCAAUAUUAAACCAGUUGAUCCUGUCUUGCCUUCAAAAAGAAAUGAAGGUGCUGCUGUGGCGCUGCAGCUGCCUGCUGCCUGCCUGGGAGCUAUCAGGACCCGAGAGCCAACGUUGGUGUUUGAACCCGAGGAGGGAAAAGAGAGGGAAGAAAGAUCCACAGUGUCUGGAGGAUCUGCCAGGAAGUCAGAACUAAACAGGAAAUAAAGAACGAUCAAAGCAGAAGAUUAAACCUGUCUCUCAACAAUUAAACGCAGAGAAUUGAUCUUGACCAGUCUGUACACACAACAAGUUUCCAGGAGAUCGGAUUCAAACAUCACGAGUUCAGCCACCUAACAGAGAGAAAGAAAACACUUGUUUACAAGCUUGUUGCUAGGAGACACACUGUCCUCCUUCAACGCUGGUUCGACAGCGAUGGAAACAGUUGGAACAGUCUGGAAACUGAGCUAUCAGACUUGUCUGCACCCAUAUAUUUCACUUCCUGUAACUUUACUUUCUGUCUGUCUCUCUGAUGAUUCCGGAGAUGUUGAUGUUUGGUAAAGCCGAUGGUGGUAGAAAUAAGCUUCCUGUCGGGUUACUCUUGGGAGCAAUUGAAUUUGAACACUGACCUUUGACCCUGUACUCAUUGUUUAUCUAAAUGGACCCCAUUGUUCAUUCCUGCAAUGGUUAUAGAGAAUAUAUUAUGUAAUCUAUUGAAAUAUAUUUUAUACGAACAUUUUCAUCAUAGCUGGAUGCAUAUAAAGUAAAAAAAUAAUAAUUUCGUUUUCAAAUGAUUAUGAUUUCAAACUUACCAGUAGAGGGCAGAAUUCAACCAAUUAGAAUGCUAGGAGGGAAAAAAAUUCCAAGAACAGGAGAAGCGGGAAUCCCAGAAAAUAAAGAGGAGAAGGGCUGACAUCACUCUGUGACUGCAAUGUGACACUUACGUGUGUGUGUGUGUGUGUGGGGGGGGUGUGGGUGUGUGUGUGUGUGUGUGUGUGUGGGUGUGUGUGUGUGUGUGUGUGUGUGUGCGUGUGAUUAAACAUAAAAGGUGAAUGUGAAACUAGAGCUGUUGUGAAUCUUCAACAUUCUGCAGAAGAGACCAGGUGAUUAUAUUUUUUGCUACUACUAUUAGAAUCAUUGCUGUUAAUAUUUAGUGGUAGUUUGGAUACAGAAAUAAAAAAUAUGUUAAAAAAGAUCUUCGUUAGUAUAUUUAGUUUUUAUAUUUUUUUAACAGGACCUGGGUGGAAUUUUUUAAAAUGAUCUUUUCAAACAGACCAAAGUGUAAUUAUUUUAGUAUUAAACGAUUAUUAUUGUUAAAAAUAUCAAAAGAUAAAUCAUGAUGAUGCCAUGCAAUAAUGGAUCAGGGUUUACAUUGAGGGGUUCGAGGGUUAGGUCCAGGGUUUGGGGGCCCAGUUCAGGGGUCAGGUCUGGGGUUUGGGGGCCUGGGUCAGGGUUCGGGGUCAGGUCUGGGGUUUGGGGGCCAGGGUCAGGGUUCAGGGAUCAGGUCUGGGGUUUGGGGUCCAGGGUCAGGGUUCAGGUCCAGCAGUUUCCAAAGCAGCAGCAGGUGUUGCUUCUGUGGGUCCAUGGGACACCUUGAGUGUCUGCUGUGAUAUUGUCCGUCUGCACUGGGGGGAGCUACAGCCCUUACAGUCGGUGCAGAAGGCUGCCUUGCU